Molecule: long non-coding RNA, 812 nt
Organism: Capsicum annuum
Lineage: Eukaryota; Viridiplantae; Streptophyta; Magnoliopsida; Solanales; Solanaceae
Exons: 2
Source: RefSeq, a predicted model, not a curated record
UUAGCCGAGUGGCUAUUCUUGUCUAUUCCCCUAAAAUAAAAUAGAGUAAAUACAUUAAUUAAAGAAAUGAGGCCUUAAUUUCUUAGGGGCCUCAAGCCCUUGCGUCAGUUGCUUGGGCCCUUGAGCGCUGCACCUUCUUUUCUGGUAUGAAACAUUGGCAAUUAUUAUUUACUCUAUAGGAUGCCAUGCUACCUAAAUCAGAGGUUAGCACAAAAAAGUUCCGAUUACUUCAGUCGUACUGAUUAUUAAACAUGUAGAGAAGUUGUAAAAUUUGUGGCACGUUUUGGUUUGUACUUAUACAAAUUAAUUAAUACAAGUUUGCAAUCAGCAAACAGUUAUUUUCAUAUGUCAGGAUUGACCUAUAGUCACCCGCGCACAAGUUUGCAGUUACAUCAGAAGAGAGUUUCAGCUUCUCAUCUGCAGUUAUCUUUCCCAGAAUCAAUUGAGAGAUCCAGACAAACGACUUUGAAUUAGCCAGGACGCUUCAGAUAAAACAUUGUCUGGAAAACAAUCAUGUGUCUGCAGGCUGUCACGAGUUGGUUUAGAACAUCAACGACAAAUUUGAUUAAGAAGACUUCCACUGCCUGCAUAGUCCUUGCAUUUCUCAGGGUUCUCUUUCCAACUGAAAAAGGUCUAACCCUUCCAAGUUUCCAUAUCCCUGAUUGCUACUAUAUAUUUCAUUUAUUAUCAGCUCAUAAAGAGGAAACUCCGAGAUUUUCUCUCUGUGUAUGCUAUAUAACGAAGUGUUCUAUUUUUCAAAUUUUUAUUUUGUAUUUUUGGCAUGAUUAUAAUUAUUAGCAACUACGUAUACU